GAUGAAGAACGCAGCGAAAUGCGAUACUUGGUGUGAAUUGCUGAAUCCCGUGAACCAUCAAGUUUUUGAACGCAAGUUGCGCCCGAAGCCAUUAGGCCGAGGGCACGCCUGCCUGGGUGUCACACAUUGUUGCCCCAAUGCCAAUCGCCUCACUUUGUAGGUAUUUGCUUGGGGUGAAUGUUGGCCUCCCGUGAGCUCUGUCUCACGGUUGGUUGAAAAUCGAGUGCAUGGUGUCGGGUGUACCAUGAUGGAUGGUGGUUGAGUGAUGCUCGAGGCCAAUCAUGGGUAACUCCACCAGAAUUGUGCUCGGUGACCCACAUGCGUCCCUUGGAUGCUCCCUAAGGAGACCUUAGGUCAGGCGGGGCUACCCGCUGAGUUUAAGCAUAUCAAUAAGCGGAGGA
This 401-nucleotide unclassified non-coding RNA is filed under the name soil metagenome. RNAcentral describes it as "partial contains 5.8S ribosomal RNA, internal transcribed spacer 2, and large subunit ribosomal RNA". The stretch from base 1 to 122 matches the Rfam family "5.8S ribosomal RNA", at positions 35 to 154 of the family's 154-position model. The record is from RNAcentral.